RNAcentral lists this unclassified non-coding RNA (222 nucleotides) under plant metagenome. RNAcentral's name for it is "partial contains small subunit ribosomal RNA, internal transcribed spacer 1, and 5.8S ribosomal RNA". The record is from RNAcentral.
UUUCCGUAGGUGAACCUGCGGAAGGAUCAUUAAAGAACGCCCCGUUUUUUGAAAUGGGUAAUUCUGAACCGUGUAUACAUACCUUUGUUGCUUUGGCAGGCCGCCCCUCAGGGCGUCGGCUCCGGCUGACUGCGCCUGCCGGAGGACCCAAACUCUUUUGUUUAGUGAUGUCUGAGUACUAUAUAAUAGUUAAAACUUUCAACAACGGAUCUCUUGGUUCUG